GGUCCCUAUCCGGCGUGGGCGCAGGAUAUUUGAGAGGAGCUAUCCCUAGUACGAGAGGACCGGGAUGGACUGACCUCUGGUGCAUCUGCUGUCUUGCCAAAGGCAUGGCAGAGUAGCCAAGUCGGGACGGGAUAAACGCUGAAGGCAUCUAAGCGUGAAGCCCCCCUCAAGAUGAGAUAUCCCAUGGCACAAGCCAGUAAGACCCCUUGAAGACGACGAGGUUGAUAGGUCAGGGGUGUAAGUACAGCAAUGUAUUCAGCUGACUGAUACUAAUAGGUCGAGGGCUUGACCAA
Molecule: non-coding RNA, 293 nt
Filed under: Parasporobacterium paucivorans DSM 15970
Lineage: Bacteria; Bacillati; Bacillota; Clostridia; Lachnospirales; Lachnospiraceae
Description: Bacterial large subunit ribosomal RNA
Rfam family: Bacterial large subunit ribosomal RNA
Source: Rfam by way of RNAcentral